Camellia sinensis is the source of this 412-nucleotide non-coding RNA. The record is from RefSeq and is a predicted model, not a curated record. NCBI's taxonomy places the organism in Eukaryota, Viridiplantae, Streptophyta, Magnoliopsida, Ericales, Theaceae.
CGUACCAGGUAAUUGUUGAACACACUUGUAAUGCACUUGCACACACUUGUGGUGAGGCUGCAGCUCUUGUGUAGGCUGCUUGUACUGGGCUGCUGAUGAUGCUACAGCUGCUGCUAUGGCGGAGGCUGCUGCUAGGCAUGUAGCUGCUGCUGUUACUAAGCAUUUGGGCACAUGGACUCGAUUUCUUCUGAAUAUAUUUUUACACUUCAUGCAGGAGAAAUGUCAGAAAAACAAGGAAAAUCGGUUUGAGCUUAAAGUCCUCCAUACAGCUGGCUCAAAGGCAUUUAGAAAGGUGCAAUAUGAUGAGCGAGACAAGGAUGGAAAGGAGCUUGGACUUGUUGAUUUGUAUCACAAGACACACUUUAGUCAGAAAAGGCAAGCAUGGGUCCAUAAUGAAGCUGAAAUUAGACAU